UACGGGGGGGGCAAGCGUUGUUCGGAAUUACUGGGCGUAAAGGGCUCGUAGGCGGCCAACUAAGUCGGAUGUGAAAUCCCCAGGCUUAACCUGGGAACUGCAUCCGAUACUGGAUGGCUUGAAUCCGGGAGAGGGAUGCGGAAUUCCAGGUGUAGCGGUGAAAUGCGUAGAUAUCUGGAGGAACACCGGUGGCGAAGGCGGCAUCCUGGACCGGCAUUGACGCUGAGGCGCGAAAGCUAGGGGAGCAAACGGG
This 253-nucleotide ribosomal RNA is filed under the name uncultured bacterium. RNAcentral's name for it is "partial 16S ribosomal RNA". It matches the Rfam family "Bacterial small subunit ribosomal RNA", at positions 524 to 776 of the family's 1533-position model. The record is from RNAcentral.